RNAcentral lists this long non-coding RNA (666 nucleotides) under Eucalyptus grandis. Its description in RNAcentral is "long non-coding RNA (EGRA_LNC002691)". Lineage: Eukaryota; Viridiplantae; Streptophyta; Magnoliopsida; Myrtales; Myrtaceae. The record is from RNAcentral.
UUGCGAAUUAGGUGGUGCGUUGAGAAUUUCAACAAUGCAUUGAGAAAUAUUUCAAAUAAAAAAAAACAAAACAUCAAAAACUAAAAUAAGAUAAACUAAAUCUACCUAACAAAAUAAAAUAAAUCUCUACCUAAUAAAAUAAAAUAAAUCUACCUAAAUUUGAAUUUUUUUUCCAAAAAUCCGAUCGGUAGAAUGGACCACGAUUGAGGCUCGGCGCGCGUCUAGGCUCAAGGACGGUGGCUGUGGUGGUGGGUCACCGUCGGUCGGAGGUCUCGUUCGUCGGAGCUCCGGCGAAAGUGGACCAGCAGCGAAACAGGGGAGUCCGGCGUCGCGGGGGCUGCAGGGCAAUCGCUCGGGGAAGCUCGGAGCAGGCGCGGUGCUGGGCUGAGAGGUGACCAAGGCUGGCAGGGCGGCAACGCAGCGUCCGGCGGGGCAGCAGAGCGGCGGUGCGUCGGAGCAGAGACGGAGCUAGGCGGCUCGGGCGGCUCACGGACAGAGCAGGGAGGAGCCGGCUCGAGAUCUGCUGGGCGCGGGCAGAACCGGAGCAGAAGUGGCGUCACAGGCAGCAGCUUCGAGCGGGCGGAGCAGAGGCCGCUGGGCUGACGGAGGCGGGUCGCAUCGGCGAGGGGCGGAACUUCGGACAGAGCAGGGAGAGGCGGAGUGGCG